Schistocerca serialis cubense is the source of this 3886-nucleotide long non-coding RNA. RefSeq lists it as uncharacterized. Lineage: Eukaryota; Metazoa; Arthropoda; Insecta; Orthoptera; Acrididae. The transcript has 3 exons. The record is from RefSeq and is a predicted model, not a curated record.
GACUGUGAGACAGUGCAGAAGGUUGCUUUUAAAGAGUGGCUCCUUUCUGAGUUUUGUGUAGAGGAGUAUUGUGUAUCUGAGGAGUGCUAUCACUUAAGAGAGGAGUUACCGCAGAGUGAACUACAUAGAGAAGUUUUUGGCUUCUUUUAAGACGAAGUCAAAGCCACAGAAGUCUUUUACUCUGUUUGAAUAUCCGUAUUCUGGUUGGGAUAAGGAAGUCGUUGACUGGUACAACAAUGCGAUACAAUCCAAGAAGAAAUAAAUGACUGCAAGAGAUUUCUUUGAGUCUAAUUGGGGAAGAAUUGUUGAUUUUUCGCCUGUUGUACGUGACGCCCUCCUUAAUCCCAACGCACCAAACGUCGGAGAAGAUUAUAUAUUUGAGACAGCAUUAUUGUUUUAUGGAAAUAGAACAAGUGAAGGUGCUGCUUUACUGGUCUUGGAUAGCUUGUGGCAAUUUCAAUUUAAUCGAGGAGAGUUGUUGGAUUUGUUUUCAGAGGUAUAUAGAUUUCUAGUUCAGCUACGUAAUAACGAACGUUGUCAGUAUAGAUAUUGGCAUUUAAGAAAGGCUAAGUGGUUGCCGUUGUGGUACGUUUACGAAUGAGGCAUUUUGAAGUGAAAGUGGAUUUGAAGACAUUAGUAAAGCAAGACAGUUUUAUGACAUUUUGUGAUGGUUAUAUUGUGAGUGCUCGUUGGUUGUAUGGUAGACAUAAGUUAAGAAGACCUGUUAAGAGAAUAUAUAAAGCACCAAUAUAUGUUGAGUUCAAAAUAUUUUUUGACUAAGAAGAUGAGUAAUUUAAAUGAUUUAAUUGAAAGUGUAGAAAUUCGUAAUAUGGUUAGGGAUAAUUUACCUGUUGAAAAUGCAGUACCUAGUCCUUAUAUGGCUGAUGUCUUAUCAGGAAGAUUUAAUGAUAAUUUUGAACCUCAUGAUGUUUGUCGUUGUGGUAAUAUUUGUUGUUGUUUGGGUAUUCCGUGUGGUCAGCAAAAUCAGCCAAUUAGCGAUAGUGAGGCAGAAUUAAGUCAAUAUGCUCAGAGGUUAAGUGAUGUUGGUAGCCCUUGGCGUGUUUAUGGACGUGAGUCGCGUCUUGGUCAGCCUAUAGGUGGCAUUGAUGAAUGCGGCUGGCUUAAAGAUGGCAUCACCAUGCCUAAUAAAGAAAACCAUUCUUAUCUAUCCCACCCCCCUUUUUUUUAAAUACUAAUUCAGCUACUGAAGCAUCUUUCUCUUCUUUGGGUUGCAGGGGUUAUGACCCCUGGGGAGGUGGGUGGGUGUUAUACUGUAAGUCCUUGCACUGGUCUUAUGCCGCCGUGUAAGGCGGGUGACCUUGAGUGGGACUUGGCCGCUGGACGAGGCAGCCGGGCAACACGGGCACUAGUAUUACUAGGCCCGUGUUGCUGGAAAAUCAAGAUUGCGCAACACUGAUAAGGCGCGCUGGCGCUGUGCGCGCAUGUGGGGGCGGGAAGUUCUGACGUCAUGUCUUUGAUAACUGUGUCCUGAGGCAGCUGCAGGCUCAUUCGACUCGAGGCAGCCGCACGCUACGCAUCACCAUGCCGUACCGCCGUAGAAGAUACAUGAGGAGGAGCAGACUUCCAGUGUACAAGACAGUGGAUACAUUUUCAAUUACACACACACACACACACCUGACAAGUCAGAGGUGACUUAACAUGAAAUUAAUAAGAAAUUUUCUUUCAGGGCGUCUAAAAAUUUUUGUGAGAGAACUACAAUACUGUGUGGUAGAAGUCAUAAAAUUCUGGAUUUUUACAAGAAAUAGAAAUAUUAUUUUAUCCAUAGUAAAGAUGAUUGGGGUCACCUAUGACCCCAGAGUGAGUCCUAGGGUUAACCGAUUCAGCCGGUGCUGAAAAAGGACAGAUCAAUGAUCAAGCGCCCUCUGUUGGGCCGGUCGCCAGGAUGUUAUUUAGGCGCGCACCGAUCUUAAGAACUUUACUAGAGGGCUUUACAUACAACGUGAUACAACUUUUAAACAACAUAUUACCAGUCAAAAUAAAAUUAUAUAGUCUGGUUAUACAUUCAAUGAAUAGGUAGGGCAUAAUCAGUUACAGGAUUAGUGCGAUUAAUGUAUGGAAGUAAGGCAAAUGCCUACUGUUCACGACAUAAAUCAUCAAGUAAGGCUAGGUAUAAAUACGCAGGGCAUUAUCUGGUUAUCGUAGUACAUUAUCAAACAAAGCAAAGUAGGCGUUGGGCACAAAAUCGCUUUGGCCAUUGAGCACCCGAGUGGGCUCAUGCUUUUUCGCUUUGUAAAUCUCCAACAAGUGAAGAGCGCGAUCCUUUUAAGGAAUGACAUGAUGUUGUAAGCCUUUAUUCAGUAGAUUAUUUUCGUGUGUGUUUCUGCCUGGGAGAAGAAAACAAUUAUUUAAAUGGCCAUUACAAUAUUGUAUGAAGUAAAUGUCAAUGUGUUAGCUGUUACUUUUGAUGCACUUUCCACCAAUAUUACAAUGGCAAAGGAGUUAGUGGCAAAUAUUGCUGUUGAAGAUAUGAAACCCUAUUUUUCUCAUCCUGUUACAGGUAACAUUGUAUAUAUAAUUUUGUCCCUGCCAUAUGAUCAAGUUAGUUAGAAAUAUGGAUUUAGUUGAUGGGAGCAGAAGUAGUCUCCUGGCAGUAUAUCGAAAAGCUGCAUUAUACACAAGAAAGGGAGAGGCUUACUCUGGCUAACAAACUGAAAUUAUUGCACCUGAACUUUGGAGUUAGCUGUCCAGGUAUUAAGUGCUUCAGUUAGUUCUGCACUGCAAUAUUUAUGCUGCAAUUUAAAAUCAGAGUAAUUUCAGGGAUCUGAAGGAACAGCAGACUUCUGUCUUAUUUUUGAUCAAAUAUUUGGUAUGUUCAAUUCAAAAAAUCCUUUGGGUAAGGGAUACAAAGCACCAAUACGGGAGAGUAGUAAGUGUGUUUGGGAGCCUUUCCUUCAGACAGUAGCUGGUUAUUUGACAUCCCUUAAAGAUACAAAUGGGAAGCUAUUAUGUAAAGGUAAUAGGAAGACAGCUAUACUUGGGAUAUUAGCACUGUGUGAAACUAUUAAAGGCUUGCAUAGUGAUGUAAUCAUGACAAAGAAGAUGAACUACUUGCUGAUGUACAAGUUUAGCCAGGAUCAUCUGGAAAUGUAUUUUUCUUUAGUUAGAUCUAAGUUAGGAUGGAAUAACAAUCCAUCCUACCUACAGUUGAGAGCAGCAUAUAGGAACCUCCUAAUUUCAAAUGAGGUCAGACAUAAGGCAACUGCUUACUGUCAGUUUCAAGAUGAUACAUGUCUUUUACCUUGGACUGGGAAAAGAAACGUGUUUUGUAUGAACCAGUUGAGUUUUGCAACAGCAGGCGAUAUGACUGUACUGAUGAAACAAAUGUGGAGUGUGUCUGCCCAUGAUUAUGUGAUAUUGCAAAAUAACUUAACAGAGUACGCUAGUAAUCUUGUUGUAUAUUUUACAUGAUUUGUUGUGAAACACAUGGUAAAGAAAUUGAAUUGCAGUUCUUGCGUAUGUAGUUUAUUUAGUGUAGAAGCAGUUCAGUUGUCUGAUUUGUUAAGGAGGAAAAACAAUGGUGGCUUGAUUAUGCCAUCAGCAGGAGUAAUUGUGGUUUGCAGAGAAGCUGAGGAAAAUAAUAUGGCUACGGGUUGUGAAAUCAACUAAUGUAAUUCAGAAAAGCAAUACACUCACUGAAAUAAUGUCAAAUGUUGUGCCAAUAGUAAUGCAGCAGGACUUAUUUCCUGAACUGAAGGACCAUCUGAUGGAAAAUGUUUUCCCGGAGAAUCAUUGGUACAUUAUUGUAGAAUCAAUUGUAAGGCAGUAUGUUUGUUGUCACCAUAUUACAAACAUAUGCAAUACAAAAUUGCCCAAAAAAGUUAUUAGACAGACACUGACAAAAUCAGUUUUAUUUCAAAAUCAGUGA